UACGGGGGGGGCAAGCGUUGUUCGGAAUUACUGGGCGUAAAGGGCUCGUAGGCGGCCAACUAAGUCGGACGUGAAAUCCCUCGGCUUAACCGGGGAACUGCGUCCGAUACUGGAUGGCUUGAGUUCGGGAGAGGGAUGCGGAAUUCCAGGUGUAGCGGUGAAAUGCGUAGAUAUCUGGAGGAAGACCAGUGGCGAAGGCGGGUCUCUGGACAGUUCCUGACGCUGAGGCACGAAGGUCAGGGGAGCAAACGGG
Molecule: ribosomal RNA, 253 nt
Filed under: uncultured bacterium
Lineage: Bacteria
Description: partial 16S ribosomal RNA
Rfam family: Bacterial small subunit ribosomal RNA
Source: RNAcentral